GAUGAAGAACGUAGCGAAAUGCGAUAAGUAAUGUGAAUUGCAGAAUUCAGUGAAUCAUCGAGUCUUUGAACGCACAUUGCGCCCCCUGGCAUUCCGGGGGGCAUGCCUGUUCGAGCGUCAUUACAACCCUCAAGCUCUGCUUGGUAUUGGGCUCUGCUGGGACCGGCAGGCCUUAAAAUCAGUGGCGGCGCCACUCGGCUUCAAGCGUAGUAAUUCUUCUCGCUUCGGAGACCCGGGUGCGUGCUAGCCAGCAACCCCCAACUUUCUUAGGUUGACCUCGGAUCAGGUAGGGAUACCCGCUGAACUUAAGCAUAUCAAUAAGCGGAGGA
This 329-nucleotide unclassified non-coding RNA is filed under the name soil metagenome. RNAcentral describes it as "partial contains 5.8S ribosomal RNA, internal transcribed spacer 2, and large subunit ribosomal RNA". The stretch from base 1 to 120 matches the Rfam family "5.8S ribosomal RNA", at positions 35 to 154 of the family's 154-position model. The record is from RNAcentral.